UACGAAGGGUGCAAGCGUUAAUCGGAAUUACUGGGCGUAAAGCGCGCGUAGGUGGCCAAUUAAGUCAAAUGUGAAAUCCCCGAGCUUAACUUGGGAAUUGCAUUCGAUACUGGUUGGCUAGAGUAUGGGAGAGGAUGGUAGAAUUCCAGGUGUAGCGGUGAAAUGCGUAGAGAUCUGGAGGAAUACCGAUGGCGAAGGCAGCCAUCUGGCCUAAUACUGACACUGAGGUGCGAAAGCAUGGGGAGCAAACAGG
RNAcentral lists this ribosomal RNA (253 nucleotides) under uncultured Acinetobacter sp. RNAcentral describes it as "partial 16S ribosomal RNA". It matches the Rfam family "Bacterial small subunit ribosomal RNA", at positions 524 to 776 of the family's 1533-position model. Lineage: Bacteria; Pseudomonadati; Pseudomonadota; Gammaproteobacteria; Moraxellales; Moraxellaceae. The record is from RNAcentral.